GGCUUCUGCACAUGCACUGAAAUGUAUUUUCUACUCACAUCAUACAAUCUCCUUCCAAGUUUUGAAUCUCCUGGCACAGUUUUAUGCAUCCAGAUGAUCUCAUCAUCAUCAUCAUACAAAACAUGACUUGAAGAAAGAGAAAACAGAUGUUCCUACCACACUUCGGAUUGUGUUAAGGGGAAAGAGAAGACAGCUGAUCUCUUCUCCAGAGAACAUGGCCAUUGCACUGGAUAAGAAGACAAGGGCUGGCUCACAAGGAAGAUCAUUCUACAGCUUCCCAGUGACAGACUAAGGACUCCAAAGAGUGAACUCUGGCAAUUUAAGCAGUACACCAGAGAGACAUCAAAAGCACAUGUGUCCUUUCACAUCCUCAGCCUACAUGAACUGAAGAUCCUAAAGGAGAACUCCAGCAGGCAAGGGAACUCCUGAAAUGACAGCAUGACUAUUCUGCAGAGAAGCCACACGGAGCUGCACGAUGCUGAUUACAGGAGGCCCUCCCACCCAGGCGCCCUCUUUGGCAAGGCGCCGUGGCCCGCGCGCUCUCGCAAUGACUGUUCUCUCACUGCUGCUCAAAGCACUCGGGCUCCCGGGUCAGCCAUGAAAAUUAAUAACCAGCAUUUCUUCUGCAGGGUAGAUGCAGAGCUAGAAUUCCGUGAAUAGUACCUUGUAGCCACCCUAGCCCAAUCUGGGGCCUCCCAACAGAUUUUAUGAACAGAAGAGGGUUGGGUCUGGCUGAUAAUUUGGGAAAAAGAUGAGAGGGGAAACCCCCAGCACAGCAGGAACUGAUGUUAGUGAGACAAUAGCUGGAACUCUGACUCAUUGUUGAAGCAAUGUCCAAACAUGAGCAUCAGAGGACACACUGUACUGCAGAAAGAGCCAGCUUCUGUAUAAGCUGCACAC
This is a long non-coding RNA of Lonchura striata (white-rumped munia), 900 nucleotides long. RefSeq lists it as uncharacterized. NCBI's taxonomy places the organism in Eukaryota, Metazoa, Chordata, Aves, Passeriformes, Estrildidae. The record is from RefSeq and is a predicted model, not a curated record.